UCCAAUGGGGGGGCGGGGGGAACAGAAAGAAAAACAGCGACCAACCAAGCAGAGCCAUCUAUUCUGCAUCCAGCUUCCGUUUUAUCCUCUUGGAAAAUAGAAAUUAAAACUGAUCUUUAAUUGUUUAAAAGAAAAAAAACCCAACAACUCAGCAUGCACUAAAAAUGCAGUGUCCCUCCCUCCGACCACGAGAAUUUCAUUUGUAAUAAAUGGUCCCAAAAAUCUAGAUUGUUCUUAUGCAAAUACAGUUAGUUUUCCCUUAAUUUUUUAAAAAUUUUUGAAGUUUUUUUUUCUUAAAGAGGCAUUGCUAAAAGAACACAAUGUGACAGCACCAUUACAAAAUUAAGAUUAUUGGGUUCAAAAUGUACGCUUGAUUUUUUUUUUCCUAGUUCUCUUAAACAUCGGGGAAACCCUGCAAUAGUUUUCUUUAGAAAUCGUUCCCUUCCCCCCCAUGCCCUCCCAACACCUGAGACUUUCCUUGCUGAGAAGCCAUCAUCCAGGUUCUGUGAAUACUAACCCACUUUUUUUUCUUUUUUUUUUUUUUCUUUUUUUUUGACAGCCUGAACGGCAGACUCCUUACUUACUAGAAAGACAUUCAGUUCCUUGGAAGCCUUGUGUUUGCAGAACUAACCCUUUCUAGCUCACAGACCGAGUUUCUUUUGCUACUCCUUGCGUUAUCUCAUUUACUCGUGGGAGAAAGCUUUCUCAAUCAGAUUCUUUUUAGCUCUUAAAACAGUUGCAGCAUUUGAAACCCCCUAAUAAAAAGUUUUUAUUCCAGAGUUUUGGUUUCCUUUAUGAACCCAGACGAGAUCUUUUCCUUGGAGAUGUCUCUUCCUCUUCGUCGUCGUCUUCGUCGUCAGGAUAAUCCACUAGGCCAACUAGACUUCCCUUCGUGGCUGUCACUGCUGUGGUCAGGGUGGCGUUCUUGGAAGAGGAGCCAUUGGAGCUUGCUGGUGAUGUCUGAGCUGCCACAGAUUUGCUGUUUGCACCAUUUGCACCAUUGGCUGCGCUGGCUGAGUGGGAAAAAGUGAACUUGAAUCCCCCAGCUGAAGUCCUUUUGGGAAGAUUCUCUUUAUCUUCACUCUCUUUAGCUUUUUUAGUUUCCAUAAACUUUUCAUAGCUGUCUGGAAAAUCAUCCUCUGGUUUAGACUUCUCAACUGGAGGUACAACAGCUUCACCUUCCUCCUCUUCAUCCUCAUUGAACCACAUUUCUUCAUCCUCCUCCAAGGCUCUUGCGUCUCUGCGAAAUCUAUUGCUACGCAAUAUAGAUGGAACACUGUUCAGUUUCUGGUUUUGCCGGUCUUUCUCUUGCUCAUAUUUUGUCUUCAAUCCCUUGAAUGUCUGAACAUAUUCGAUAGAUUCAAGUGCAUUAUAAAAGUUUUCAACUAUAUGUGCAAUAAGUGACUUAAUAUCUUCCACUCUGAUGAAUUCGAACAGUUCAAUCACAGCAGAGUUGAGCAGAUUGUAUCUAGUUCCAUUAUCCAACAGAGCAUUUAUAACUGGCUCAAAGAGAUUUCCCUUGGUGAUAUAACGGUUAUAAAAUUCAUCUUUUAGGCCAAUUAUCCUCCUCAUAAA
RNAcentral lists this long non-coding RNA (1575 nucleotides) under Gallus gallus (chicken). The record is from RNAcentral. Lineage: Eukaryota; Metazoa; Chordata; Aves; Galliformes; Phasianidae.